RNAcentral lists this ribosomal RNA (147 nucleotides) under Schizosaccharomyces pombe (fission yeast). The record is from RNAcentral. Lineage: Eukaryota; Fungi; Ascomycota; Schizosaccharomycetes; Schizosaccharomycetales; Schizosaccharomycetaceae.
AUAUAUUUUACUAAUUACUUAUAGUGCUGUCUACGGCCAUACCUAGGCGAAAACACCAGUUCCCGUCUGAUCACUGCAGUUAAGCGUCUGAGGGCCUCGUUAGUACUAUGGUUGGAGACAACAUGGGAAUCCGGGGUGCUGUAGGCU